CGGGGCUGCGCGGGGCCGGGCUCACCGGGCGGGCUGCGGUGAGUGGGGCCGGCCGAGGGCUCCUCCCCCCGCCCGUGUACGGAGCCCGGGAGCCCGCGCCCGCCCACCCGCCCCGCAGCGGCCGGGCUCCUGGGCCAGCGCGGCGAGGCCUCGGCUGUCCUUGCCGGAAGGUGAGACCGUCGUCCCCCAGGCACGUGGAGGACGGGAGACGUGCCUCCUCUGGAAGAAGCCCCUGCUCUGCCAAAGAAGCCUUCUUCCUCCUUGGGCCUGUGACUGUUUACCUGCUCUCAGAAAAGCAGGUGUCAGGAGGCAGCUGCUGGUUGUGGUCUGUUCUCCCCAGAUACCAGAGCGCCUGGCCUCCUCCACACUGGUGGCCAUUGGCUAACAGGAAGCCAAAACAGAGUCAUGCUCGCCACCCUCAGCCACCUAGCUGGCGAACAAAGAGAGCACAGGAAACACCUGGAGGAGCAGGCAGCUGGCAAGGG
Molecule: long non-coding RNA, 485 nt
Filed under: Equus caballus (horse)
Lineage: Eukaryota; Metazoa; Chordata; Mammalia; Perissodactyla; Equidae
Description: lncRNA (ENSECAG00000052029.1)
Source: RNAcentral